CCUACGGGAGGCAGCAGUGAGGAAUAUUGGUCAAUGGACGAGAGUCUGAACCAGCCAAGUAGCGUGAAGGAUGACUGCCCUAUGGGUUGUAAACUUCUUUUAUAUGGGAAUAAAAUGUUCCACGUGUGGGAUUUUGUAUGUACCAUAUGAAUAAGGAUCGGCUAACUCCGUGCCAGCAGCCGCGGUAAUACGGAGGAUCCGAGCGUUAUCCGGAUUUAUUGGGUUUAAAGGGAGCGUAGGUGGAUUGUUAAGUCAGUUGUGAAAGUUUGCGGCUCAACCGGAAAAUUGCAGUUGACACUGGCAGUCUUGAGUACAGUAGAGGUGGGCGGAAUUCGUGGUGUAGCGGUGAAAUGCUUAGAUAUCACGAAGAACUCCGAUUGCGAAGGCAGUUCACUGGACUGCAACUGACACUGAGGCUCGAAAGUGUGGGUAUCAAACAGGAUUAGAUACCCGAGUAGUC
RNAcentral lists this ribosomal RNA (460 nucleotides) under uncultured bacterium. RNAcentral's name for it is "partial 16S ribosomal RNA". It matches the Rfam family "Bacterial small subunit ribosomal RNA", at positions 338 to 795 of the family's 1533-position model. The record is from RNAcentral.